This 466-nucleotide long non-coding RNA is filed under the name Actinidia chinensis (golden kiwifruit). RNAcentral's name for it is "long non-coding RNA (ACHI_LNC000531)". Lineage: Eukaryota; Viridiplantae; Streptophyta; Magnoliopsida; Ericales; Actinidiaceae. The record is from RNAcentral.
UGGUAAAAGCACAAAAAAUUAUAUGUUGUAUCUCUUCCUCCUUUACCACAUAUUAUGGUGAUCCUGCUUCUCCUUCUCUUCCAUUAACAAAGACAUUUUUUAAUUUUCAGGUCUUACAAUUUCAGAGACAACUCAUGAGGUUCAAUUGCUGCAAGUAGUUUUCACAUCCCCAAAUCAGCCAACAAGUGUUCUGUUUUAUUUAUUUUGUGUACUGUGUGAGAUUGAGAUCGAGAUUGUGUUGGUUAGACAGCCUAUUUGAUUUCUAAGCAUAAAUUGUUGCGUGAUAUGUUCAAACAUAUAUAAUACUUAGUUUCUACUUGGUGUACUCUUAGUUCCUUUCUCCCUUAUUUGAACUUGAGUUGAGCUUGCUUAGCAUUGAAUUGUCUUCAUUAUUUUCAGCUUAAGCUUUGUUAGCUAUAUAGUCCUAUAAUAUUGUUUGUUCCCAACUAGGUGCAUCUUUUAUCUA